AAGACUAUACUUUUAGGGAUCAUUUCUAUAGCUUUUGGUUUGGAAAUGUGUUUCAAAAAGUUUGUCUUCCUAUCCACGAUGAUGAGUUUUGAUGCUCUUUUCUUAGCAGGAAUCAAGCACUGAGAGGUGAUUUUGUUCGUAUCUCUUUGCUGUUGAUGAAUUUUCUGUGUUGUUUUUGACAAUAUGGAUGAAAAGAGCAUGAUCAGAGUGGU
Molecule: small nucleolar RNA, 212 nt
Organism: Myxocyprinus asiaticus (Chinese sucker)
Lineage: Eukaryota; Metazoa; Chordata; Actinopteri; Cypriniformes; Catostomidae
Product: small nucleolar RNA U3
Exons: 1
Source: RefSeq, a predicted model, not a curated record